This 427-nucleotide ribosomal RNA is filed under the name uncultured Bacillus sp. RNAcentral's name for it is "bacterial SSU rRNA". It matches the Rfam family "Bacterial small subunit ribosomal RNA", at positions 355 to 774 of the family's 1533-position model. The record is from RNAcentral. Lineage: Bacteria; Bacillati; Bacillota; Bacilli; Caryophanales; Bacillaceae.
UAGGGAAUCUUCCGCAAUGGACGAAAGUCUGACGGAGCAACGCCGCGUGAGUGAUGAAGGUUUUCGGAUCGUAAAACUCUGUUGUCAGGGAAGAACAAGUACCGGAGUAACUGCCGGUACCUUGACGGUACCUGACCAGAAAGCCACGGCUAACUACGUGCCAGCAGCCGCGGUAAUACGUAGGUGGCAAGCGUUGUCCGGAAUUAUUGGGCGUAAAGCGCGCGCAGGCGGUUCCUUAAGUCUGAUGUGAAAGCCCCCGGCUCAACCGGGGAGGGUCAUUGGAAACUGGGGAACUUGAGUGCAGAAGAGAAGAGUGGAAUUCCACGUGUAGCGGUGAAAUGCGUAGAGAUGUGGAGGAACACCAGUGGCGAAGGCGACUCUUUGGUCUGUAACUGACGCUGAGGCGCGAAAGCGUGGGGAGCAAACA